This 1807-nucleotide long non-coding RNA is filed under the name Amborella trichopoda. RNAcentral describes it as "long non-coding RNA (ATRI_LNC000797)". The record is from RNAcentral. Lineage: Eukaryota; Viridiplantae; Streptophyta; Magnoliopsida; Amborellales; Amborellaceae.
ACUCUCAUUUUAGUUCCUUCUUUGUCUGUCCACCCUCUGUAGAAGCCAGAAGUAGAUUUGAAUUCUCUUGAAAAGGGUAUACUAUGUGUGCGCGUGGGCAUGCGGGCGUUGAAAUAAUGCAUACUGACAAGUUUAUAAUAGGUUAUAGACCGUUCAAAAAAAAAGUUUAUAAUAGAUUAACACUAACCAAUAGAGUUAGUCUCCUUCUUUAACACUAACUAAUAGAGUUACUCUUAGUCGUGCAUGAAAUACGGUAUACCAUAGGAACCAUUUUGUCUUUAGACGUUUGUCAUCCGUGAGACCUGAUAUAGUAAUAUGUUUUUGAACAGAAUAGAAGGAAAAAGUAAUUAAAGAGAAUUUUAUAAAUUUGAAAAUGGUUGAGGUUUGUAUCAGGUAACAACCUCAAACAACCAACAUAAAGUGUCUCAAAGUCUAGUUGAAUGUAUCUCAAAGUCUAGUUGAAGGACAAAUAUGUAGUGUCAAAGACCUGCUUUAAAAUCUAUUUUCAACUCUAAUUAUGAAAUUUAGAGCUCAUAGAAUAGCGUAGAUCCAGUAGAUUGAUAAAUAUUUCAAAUUUUGUAAAAUGGAGUGCCUAAAUAAUUUUUGUAGGAUACACAUUUUUAGGAUUUGAAAUCUUUUUUUUUUUAAAUCAAUAUAUCGUGAGAUUGAGAUGAUCAAUUGUAAAGCUUUUCAACAUCGAAACAACUUUUGUUUUUGGAUUUUUGAAUUGCGCCUUACUUCUACACUCUAAUGUUGUUACCGAGCCCUUCACCCCAUAUUGUUUAUGCUGAUUUUGUGGUUACGGUCGCAGGAUGGGGAAUUGGAAAAGACAGCGGAAGCAGUGAAGUGUGUGUCCUGAUACACAUUAUCAUCAACUAUCCAAUCAAGCUGCAUCUACAAUACAAUUUCAACAAUACCGAGUUGCAAUUCACAUUCUCGGAAACAUCUAAUUACGACCGUCAUGGACUAUUCUUUAUCACUGUAGUCCACACAUUCUACCAUUUUUGACAUUAACAGAUAGACGUAACUACUCAUUGUUAACAUCAGGUUCUUGGAACAGAGUUUAUAACCAGCAGGUUGUUGCCUCACAGCUGGAUCGAACAGUCCAAAUAUCUCGGAACAAAGUUUAUUAGAACAAAGUCCAUGACCGUACAUUGUUGCCUCACCAUUGGACCGAACAGUCCAGAUAUCUUAGAACAUAGUUUAUGAUCAACAAGUUGUUGCCUCAAUGCUGGACCACAUAUUCCAAAAUUAAAUAUGAGAUAUAUAGAGGGAUAGAGCAAUCACAAUGAUAAAGAAAUAUUCAUUUUUUUAACACACAUGUGAAUAACCCUUUCUCGCUAGACCUCUGGACCGUACUAACCCACUUUAAUAAAAAUGGCUUUGUACUAUCCUUCCCAUCUUGAGCACCUUCUCACUCUGUGUCUCCUUUAUGUUUUGCCUUCUCACUGUGUUUCUUUUAUAUUUUGCCUUCUCAUUUCAUUAUGAUUAUCACAUAUAAUUUGUCUUUAUUUUCUGUUUUUAACCAUGUUAUUUCCAAAUAUUUUAAAUUUUUUUUAUACACCUUCAUGAAUUAAAAGUACUGUUUGACAUUUUGACAUUGGAACACAAGCCAUAACUUGAAGGUAGAACUUUUACUUUGAUUACUAGAAAGUGUGCUUCUCCAUGGAUCCUUGUGGAAGCACGAGCUUCCUACGAAUUCUGGCCGCAUUUUGAAAAUACCCCAUGGAUUUUAGGGCCUAUUUUUUGAAUUACUUUUUAUUCCCAUUUACUCUCUAAAAUAUAAUUUUUAAAUUGCCAAUGAAAG